Lyophyllum atratum is the source of this 97-nucleotide non-coding RNA. The record is from the annotation of a GenBank genome assembly. NCBI's taxonomy places the organism in Eukaryota, Fungi, Basidiomycota, Agaricomycetes, Agaricales, Lyophyllaceae.
UCCGGUAUGGUGUAACGGCUAACAUUGCCGCCUUUCAUGUCGAGUGAUAUCGAGUUGAGUUACGCGGCAGCUCGGGGUUCGAUUCCCCGUACCGGAA